UCGGUAAAGAGCGGCGGACGGGUGAGUAACGCGUGGGUAACCUGCCCUGUACACACGGAUAACAUACCGAAAGGUAUGCUAAUACGAGAUAAUAUGCUUUUAUCGCAUGGUAGAAGUAUCAAAGCUUUUGCGGUACAGGAUGGACCCGCGUCUGAUUAGCUAGUUGGUAAGGUAACGGCUUACCAAGGCGACGAUCAGUAGCCGACCUGAGAGGGUGAUCGGCCACAUUGGAACUGAGACACGGUCCAAACUCCUACGGGAGGCAGCAGUGGGGAAUAUUGCACAAUGGGCGAAAGCCUGAUGCAGCAACGCCGCGUGAGCGAUGAAGGCCUUCGGGUCGUAAAGCUCUGUCCUCAAGGAAGAUAAUGACGGUACUUGAGGAGGAAGCCCCGGCUAACUACGUGCCAGCAGCCGCGGUAAUACGUAGGGGGCUAGCGUUAUCCGGAAUUACUGGGCGUAAAGGGUGCGUAGGUGGUUUCUUAAGUCAGAGGUGAAAGGCUACGGCUCAACCGUAGUAAGCCUUUGAAACUGGGAAACUUGAGUGCAGGAGAGGAGAGUGGAAUUCCUAGUGUAGCGGUGAAAUGCGUAGAUAUUAGGAGGACACCAGUUGCGAAG
RNAcentral lists this ribosomal RNA (615 nucleotides) under uncultured Clostridium sp. Its description in RNAcentral is "bacterial SSU rRNA". It matches the Rfam family "Bacterial small subunit ribosomal RNA", at positions 85 to 720 of the family's 1533-position model. Lineage: Bacteria; Bacillati; Bacillota; Clostridia; Eubacteriales; Clostridiaceae. The record is from RNAcentral.